This 485-nucleotide ribosomal RNA is filed under the name uncultured bacterium. Its description in RNAcentral is "bacterial SSU rRNA". It matches the Rfam family "Bacterial small subunit ribosomal RNA", at positions 28 to 526 of the family's 1533-position model. The record is from RNAcentral.
GACGAACGCUGGCGGCGUGCUUAACACAUGCAAGUCGAACGGAAAGGCCCUUUCGGGGGUACUCGAGUGGCGAACGGGUGAGUAACACGUGGGUGAUCUGCCCUGCACUUUGGGAUAAGCCUGGGAAACUGGGUCUAAUACCGGAUAUACCCUGCUGGUCGCAUGGCCUGGUGGGGGAAAGCUUUUGCGGUGUGGGAUGGGCCCGCGGCCUAUCAGCUUGUUGGUGGGGUGAUGGCCUACCAAGGCGACGACGGGUAGCCGGCCUGAGAGGGUGUCCGGCCACACUGGGACUGAGAUACGGCCCAGACUCCUACGGGAGGCAGCAGUGGGGAAUAUUGCACAAUGGGCGCAAGCCUGAUGCAGCGACGCCGCGUGAGGGAUGACGGCCUUCGGGUUGUAAACCUCUUUCAGUAUCGACGAAGCGUAAGUGACGGUAGGUACAGAAGAAGCACCGGCCAACUACGUGCCAGCAGCCGCAGUAACAC